AAUAAGUUAUUUUUGCUUAUUUCUAAAAUAAGUAUAAUAUUUUAGAUAAAUAAAAAUUAUAUUAAUGGAUGAAAAUUGAAUUAUUCGGAGAUAUUGAAAAAAUUAUGUUUGGAUGAUUAGAUUAAAAUGGUAGCAAUAAGAGUAAUUACAUAAGCAUAGCCGUUAGAUGAAGGGAUGUACGGUUAGGAUGAUAGCAGUCUCUGAUUAAGAGUUGAAUGGGCAGUUGGUUGAAUAGUAUGAUCUAACGGAUAGAAAUGAUCAAAAGGAUAAAUCUAAUAGUCAAAAAUUUAUGAGUACAAAGGAAUUUAUACUCAUAAGUGUAUAGUAGCUGGACUCUCUUUCUCUCUCUAUAUAUAUUGCCAAAAUAAUAAACAUAAAAAUAUUAACAAAUUAAUAAUAUUUUAAUAAUCUAAUUAAUUAAUGAGUAAUACUAUAUAA
RNAcentral lists this long non-coding RNA (438 nucleotides) under Ananas comosus (pineapple). RNAcentral's name for it is "long non-coding RNA (ACOM_LNC011347)". Lineage: Eukaryota; Viridiplantae; Streptophyta; Magnoliopsida; Poales; Bromeliaceae. The record is from RNAcentral.